This 76-nucleotide transfer RNA is filed under the name Clostridiales bacterium. RNAcentral describes it as "tRNA-Gln". It matches the Rfam family "tRNA". Rfam says of the family: Transfer RNA (tRNA) molecules are approximately 80 nucleotides in length. Lineage: Bacteria; Bacillati; Bacillota; Clostridia; Eubacteriales. The record is from RNAcentral. RNAcentral also lists the same sequence under 1 other name.
UGGGCUGUAGCCAAGUGGUAAGGCACUAGAUUUUGAUUCUGGCAUUUCGUAGGUUCGAGUCCUGCCAGCCCAGCCA